RNAcentral lists this ribosomal RNA (562 nucleotides) under uncultured cyanobacterium. RNAcentral's name for it is "bacterial SSU rRNA". It matches the Rfam family "Bacterial small subunit ribosomal RNA", at positions 342 to 916 of the family's 1533-position model. The record is from RNAcentral. Lineage: Bacteria; Bacillati; Cyanobacteriota.
CGGGAGGCAGCAGUGGGGAAUUUUCCGCAAUGGACGAAAGUCUGACGGAGCGACGCUGCGUGAAGGAUGACGGCCUGCGGGUUGUAAACUUCUUUUCUCGAAGAAGAAGCUCUGACGGUAUUCGAGGAAUAAGCAUCGGCUAACUCCGUGCCAGCAGCCGCGGUAAUACGGAGGAUGCAAGUGUUAUUCGGAAUGAUUGGGCGUAAAGCGUCUGUAGGCUGUAUAGAAAGUCUUUUGUUAAAUGCCUCGGCUCAACCGAGAUCCAGCAAAGGAAACUUCUAUACUUGAGGGAAGUAGAGGUACAGGGAAUUCCCGGUGGAGCGGUGAAAUGCGUAGAUAUCGGGAGGAACACCAAUAUGGCGAAGGCACUGUACUGGGCUUUACCUGACGCUCAGAGACGAAAGCUAAAGGAGUGAUUAGGAUUAGAUACCCUAGUAAUUUUAGCCGUAAACGAUGGAAACUCACUGCCGAGCGAAAUACAACGAGCGGUGGUCAAGCUAACGCGUGAAGUUUCCCGCCUGGGGAUUACGCUUGCAAAAGUGAAACUCAAAGGAAUUGACGG